RNAcentral lists this unclassified non-coding RNA (379 nucleotides) under uncultured Solirubrobacterales bacterium. RNAcentral's name for it is "contains 16S-23S intergenic spacer region". Lineage: Bacteria; Bacillati; Actinomycetota; Thermoleophilia; Solirubrobacterales. The record is from RNAcentral.
UCCGAGUUGACCCCGGCAGUCUCCCAUGAGUCCCCGGCAUCACCCGCUGGCAACAUGGAACAAGGGUUGCGCUCGUUGCGGGACUUAACCCAACAUCUCACGACACGAGCUGACGACAGCCAUGCACCACCUGUGAUCCUGCCCACAAGGGGAAUCCGUGUUUCCACGGCGGUCAGGAACAUGUCAAACCCAGGUAAGGUUCUUCGCGUUGCGUCGAAUUAAACCACAUGCUCCGCUGCUUGUGCGGGUCCCCGUCAAUUUCUUUGAGUUUUAACCUUGCGGCCGUACUCCCCAGGCGGAUAACUUAAUGCGUUAGCUUCGGCACGGAGGGAGUCGACACCCCCCACACCUAGCACCCAUCGUUUACGGCGUGGACUAC